Molecule: ribosomal RNA, 731 nt
Filed under: uncultured bacterium
Lineage: Bacteria
Description: bacterial SSU rRNA
Rfam family: Bacterial small subunit ribosomal RNA
Source: RNAcentral
AGCGGCGGACGGGUGAGUAAUGCUUAGGAAUCUGCCAUUUAGUGGGGGACAACAUUCCGAAAGGGAUGCUAAUACCGCAUACGUCCUACGGGAGAAAGCAGGGGAUCUUCGGACCUUGCGCUAAAUGAUGAGCCUAAGUCGGAUUAGCUAGUUGGUGGGGUAAAGGCCUACCAAGGCGACGAUCUGUAGCGGGUCUGAGAGGAUGAUCCGCCACACUGGGACUGAGACACGGCCCAGACUCCUACGGGAGGCAGCAGUGGGGAAUAUUGGACAAUGGGCGGAAGCCUGAUCCAGCCAUGCCGCGUGUGUGAAGAAGGCCUUUUGGUUGUAAAGCACUUUAAGCGAGGAGGAGGCUACCUGGAUUAAUACUCUGGGAUAGUGGACGUUACUCGCAGAAUAAGCACCGGCUAACUCUGUGCCAGCAGCCGCGAUAAUACAGAGGGUGCGAGCGUUAAUCGGAUUUACUGGGCGUAAAGCGUGCGUAGGCGGCUGAUUAAGUCGGAUGUGAAAUCCCUGAGCUUAACUUAGGAAUUGCAUUCGAUACUGGUCAGCUAGAGUAUGGGAGAGGAUGGUAGAAUUCCAGGUGUAGCGGUGAAAUGCGUAGAGAUCUGGAGGAAUACCGAUGGCGAAGGCAGCCAUCUGGCCUAAUACUGACGCUGAGGUACGAAAGCAUGGGGAGCAAACAGGAUUAGAUACCCUGGUAGUCCAUGCCGUAAACGAUGUCUACUAGC